ACAGCAGCCGCCGCGGUAAUACGAAGGGUGCAAGCGUUAAUCGGAAUUACUGGGCGUAAAGCGUGCGUAGGCGGUGAGUUAAGUCUGCUGUGAAAUCCCCGGGCUCAACCCGGGAAUGGCAGUGGAUACUGGCUCGCUAGAGUGUGUCAGAGGAUGGUGGAAUUCCCGGUGUAGCGGUGAAAUGCGUAGAGAUCGGGAGGGACAUCAGUGGCGAAGGCGGCCACCUGGGACAACACUGACGCUGAGGCACGAAAGCGUGGGGAGCAAACAGGAUUAGAUACCCGCGUAGUCCCUGUCUCUUAUAC
RNAcentral lists this ribosomal RNA (305 nucleotides) under uncultured bacterium. RNAcentral describes it as "partial 16S ribosomal RNA". It matches the Rfam family "Bacterial small subunit ribosomal RNA", at positions 508 to 807 of the family's 1533-position model. The record is from RNAcentral.